GGGUGUAUAACUCAACUGGAUAGAGUACCGGCCUCUUAAGCCGGAGGUUCAGGGUUCGAUGCCCUGUGCACCCACCA
RNAcentral lists this transfer RNA (77 nucleotides) under Burkholderia cenocepacia. RNAcentral's name for it is "tRNA-Lys". It matches the Rfam family "tRNA". From Rfam's summary of the family: Transfer RNA (tRNA) molecules are approximately 80 nucleotides in length. Their secondary structure includes four short double-helical elements and three loops (D, anti-codon, and T loops). Lineage: Bacteria; Pseudomonadati; Pseudomonadota; Betaproteobacteria; Burkholderiales; Burkholderiaceae. The record is from RNAcentral.